CUACGGGCCGCAGCAGUGGGGAAUAUUGGACAAUGGGGGCAACCCUGAUCCAGCCAUGCCGCGUGUGUGAAGAAGGCCUUCGGGUUGUAAAGCACUUUCAGUUGGGAGGAAAGGUGUGUAGCUAAUAUCUGCACGCUGUGACGUUACCAACAGAAGAAGCACCGGCUAACUCCGUGCCAGCAGCCGCGGUAAUACGGAGGGUGCAAGCGUUAAUCGGAAUUACUGGGCGUAAAGCGCACGCAGGCGGUUGAUUAAGCGAGAUGUGAAAGCCCCGGGCUUAACCUGGGAAUUGCAUUUCGAACUGAUCAGCUAGAGUAUCAUAGAGGGGGGUAGAAUUCCAGGUGUAGCGGUGAAAUGCGUAGAGAUCGGGAGGAAUACCAAAGGCGAAGGCAGCCCCCUGGACGAAGACUGACGCUCAGGUGCGAAAGCGUGGGGAGCAAACAGGAUUAGAUACCCCAGUAGUC
RNAcentral lists this ribosomal RNA (464 nucleotides) under uncultured bacterium. RNAcentral's name for it is "partial 16S ribosomal RNA". It matches the Rfam family "Bacterial small subunit ribosomal RNA", at positions 339 to 795 of the family's 1533-position model. The record is from RNAcentral.